RNAcentral lists this non-coding RNA (203 nucleotides) under Gossypium arboreum. RNAcentral's name for it is "Eukaryotic small subunit ribosomal RNA". It matches the Rfam family "Eukaryotic small subunit ribosomal RNA", at positions 305 to 508 of the family's 1831-position model. Lineage: Eukaryota; Viridiplantae; Streptophyta; Magnoliopsida; Malvales; Malvaceae. The record is from Rfam by way of RNAcentral.
UUCUGCCCUAUCAACUUUCGAUGGUAGGAUAGUGGCCUACUAUGGUGGUGAUGGGUGACGGAGAAUUAGGGUUCAAUUCCAGAGAGGGAGCCUGAGAAACGGCUACCAUAUCCAAGGAAGGCAGCAGGUGCGCAAAUUACCCAAUCCUGAAACGGGGAGGUAGUGACAAUAAAUAACAAUACCGGGCUCUAUGAGUCUGGUAA